GUCUUCGUAGUAUAAUCAUUACACUGGUCUUGUAAACCAGAAAUGGAGAUUUACAACUCCCUAAGAUA
This 68-nucleotide transfer RNA is filed under the name Blarinella wardi (Burmese short-tailed shrew). RNAcentral describes it as "tRNA-Thr". It matches the Rfam family "tRNA". Rfam says of the family: Transfer RNA (tRNA) molecules are approximately 80 nucleotides in length. Their secondary structure includes four short double-helical elements and three loops (D, anti-codon, and T loops). Further hydrogen bonds mediate the characteristic L-shaped molecular structure. tRNAs have two regions of fundamental functional importance: the anti-codon, which is responsible for specific mRNA codon recognition, and the 3' end, to which the tRNAs corresponding amino acid is attached (by aminoacyl-tRNA synthetases). tRNAs cope with the degeneracy of the genetic code in two manners: having more than one tRNA (with a specific anti-codon) for a particular amino acid; and 'wobble' base-pairing, i.e. permitting non-standard base-pairing at the 3rd anti-codon position. The record is from RNAcentral. Lineage: Eukaryota; Metazoa; Chordata; Mammalia; Eulipotyphla; Soricidae.